GACGAACGCUGGCGGCGUGCUUAACACAUGCAAGUCGAACGGAAAGGCCCUGCUUUUGUGGGGUGCUCGAGUGGCGAACGGGUGAGUAACACGUGAGUAACCUGCCCUUGACUUUGGGAUAACUUCAGGAAACUGGGGCUAAUACCGGAUAGGAGCUCCUGCUGCAUGGUGGGGGUUGGAAAGUUUCGGCGGUUGGGGAUGGACUCGCGGCUUAUCAGCUUGUUGGUGGGGUAGUGGCUUACCAAGGCUUUGACGGGUAGCCGGCCUGAGAGGGUGACCGGCCACAUUGGGACUGAGAUACGGCCCAGACUCUUACGGGAGGCAGCAGUGGGGAAUAUUGCACAAUGGGCGGAAGCCUGAUGCAGCAACGCCGCGUGCGGGAUGACGGCCUUCGGGUUGUAAACCGCUUUCGCCUGUGACGAAGCGUGAGUGACGGGAAUGGGGAAAGAAGCACCGGCUAACUACGU
This 467-nucleotide ribosomal RNA is filed under the name uncultured bacterium. RNAcentral describes it as "partial 16S ribosomal RNA". It matches the Rfam family "Bacterial small subunit ribosomal RNA", at positions 28 to 506 of the family's 1533-position model. The record is from RNAcentral.